UAAGUAAAGAUUUUAAGGGCGUACGGUGGAUGCCUUGGCGAUAUCAGCCGAAGAAGGACGCGGUAAGCUGCGAUAAGCUACGGAGAGGUGCAAGCAACCUUUGACCCGUAGAUUUCCGAAUGGGGGAACCCGGCAGUGGUUAUGCACUGUCACCCAUAGCUUAGACUAUGAGGAGGGCACCUGGGGAACUGAAACAUCUAAUUACCCAGAGGAAAAGUAAUCAAACGAGAUUUUCUUAGUAGCGGCGAGCGAACGGGAAAGAGGCCAAACCGGAGCGGGCAACCGCACCGGGGUUGAGGACAGUCAUCAAGUGUAAAU
This 318-nucleotide ribosomal RNA is filed under the name Rothia sp. (in: high G+C Gram-positive bacteria). RNAcentral's name for it is "Rothia sp. (human oral metagenome) partial 23S ribosomal RNA". It matches the Rfam family "Bacterial large subunit ribosomal RNA", at positions 1 to 322 of the family's 2925-position model. The record is from RNAcentral. Lineage: Bacteria; Bacillati; Actinomycetota; Actinomycetes; Micrococcales; Micrococcaceae.